Molecule: ribosomal RNA, 484 nt
Filed under: uncultured bacterium
Lineage: Bacteria
Description: partial 16S ribosomal RNA
Rfam family: Bacterial small subunit ribosomal RNA
Source: RNAcentral
AUUGAACGCUGGCGGCAUGCUUUACACAUGCAAGUCGAACGGCAGCGCGGGCUUCGGCCUGGCGGCGAGUGGCGAACGGGUGAGUAAUGCAUCGGAACGUGCCCAGUAGUGGGGGAUAGCCCGGCGAAAGCCGGAUUAAUACCGCACACGACCUGCGGGUGAAAGCGGGGGACCGAUAGGCCUCGCGCUAUUGGAUCGGCCGAUGUCGGAUUAGCUAGUUGGUGUGGUAAAGGCUUACCAAGGCGACGAUCCGUAGCUGGUCUGAGAGGACGACCAGCCACACUGGCACUGAGACACGGCCCAGACUCCUACGGGAGGCAGCAGUGGGAAAUUUUGGACAAUGGGGGCAACCCUGAUCCAGCCAUGCCGCGUGAGGGAAGAAGGCCUUCGGGUUGUAAACCGCUUUUGUUCGGGAAGAAAUCCUCUGGGCUAAUACACCGGGGGGAUGACGGUACCGGAAGAAUAGGCACCGGCUAACUACGUG